GGUGGCUCAGUGGUAGAGUGCUUGCCUUGCAUGCAUGACGCCCUGGGUUCGAUUCCUCAGCACCA
This is a non-coding RNA of Dipodomys ordii (Ord's kangaroo rat), 65 nucleotides long. Lineage: Eukaryota; Metazoa; Chordata; Mammalia; Rodentia; Heteromyidae. The record is from Rfam.